CCUGGCGCAGCAGUAGGGAAUCUUCCACAAUGGGCGAAAGCCUGAUGGAGCAACGCCGCGUGGGUGAAGAAGGUCUUCGGAUCGUAAAGCCCUGUUGUUAGAGAAGAAAGUGCGUGAGAGUAACUGUUCACGUUUCGACGGUAUCUAACCAGAAAGCCACGGCUAACUACGUGCCAGCAGCCGCGGUAAUACGUAGGUGGCAAGCGUUAUCCGGAUUUAUUGGGCGUAAAGAGAACGCAGGCGGUCUUUUAAGUCUGAUGUGAAAGCCUUCGGCUUAACCGGCGUAGGGCAUUGGAAACUGGGAG
RNAcentral lists this ribosomal RNA (305 nucleotides) under uncultured bacterium. Its description in RNAcentral is "bacterial SSU rRNA". It matches the Rfam family "Bacterial small subunit ribosomal RNA", at positions 342 to 639 of the family's 1533-position model. The record is from RNAcentral.